Molecule: long non-coding RNA, 1650 nt
Organism: Argiope bruennichi
Lineage: Eukaryota; Metazoa; Arthropoda; Arachnida; Araneae; Araneidae
Exons: 2
Source: RefSeq, a predicted model, not a curated record
UCAUAAAUAAUUUAUUAAUUUGUUUUAAAGUGGUCCCAUUUUUCAGCGAUGCAGAUUAACAAACGCGUAUUGAAAUUUUCAGCAAAAUGACCGCAAGUCUUCUACAUAUAAUCUAUCCCAUUCCCACAGAAGCCGUUACUUUAGAGUGUCCAAAUUUUUACGGCGUUUAGUGCAAGCCCUAUACUCCAAAAUGGGAAGCACACUGUAAUCAUCGGAUUGAGAUUCGGCGAGAAAUGUGCUAACUCUUCAGAAGGUAUCACGUCCGGAAAAUGAGUCUUGCACCACUCUUCUGCCACAUUAGCCUUGUUGUUGAAACUCCUACUUUCCCUUGCCGAUGUGCGUUUUGGAACACAGAAACACAACAGCUUCUGGUAUGUCCCACUAGUGCAUUUUUUUAUUUAUUUCACCGUUCUCAUAAAAAAAAACACCCACACCACCAUUGACUUCCAUUUUUGCGAUGAUCAGCAAUUGCUGGAGUGCUUUGGAGAUACUACAGAUUAGAUCCUAUAGUUCUUGUAGUUCCGAAGUUUCAACGAUACAGAGAUAUUCUUUAGUGAAAAGGAAUAUAUUCCUUGGACUUGGAAUAUCUUCCUUGGACGGACUUGCGGCCCGCUUCAAAAGUUUUUGGCGUCUUUGGAGCCGCACGAGUUUGUUUUCUUCAAUGAGAAGCUGAGCUUUUUGGAACUAGUAGGGCUUCAGUCCUAGCCCUGUUUUGGCUAUUCGUUGUACUGUUCAGUCAUUUAAUACCAGUUCACGAGAGAUCUUUGCCAUGGAAACCCUCGAAUUUCAUUGAAAUCGCUUUUUGAUUGACUUAGGGGUAUUGAAAGCGUUCACCAUACGUUUUCGUUUACUUCCUGGCCUUUGACUACCAUUGCCAAUCUCUUUAAAAUGAUAAGUUGCAUCAAACACUGCUUGCCGAGGCACAGUAAGAACGGACGACUUCAUACUGUCUUUUUCCUUACUUAGACAAAUAUAAAAUAUCAUAUAUUUUGCUUGGCAUUGUCUAAAAGCUAAAAAAUAAUACGUAAACUAAAAGAUACAUUAUAAAAUAUGUUAUAAUUGAAGUGAUAGAUAAAAAAACGAAAAUUAAAAAGAAAUAAAUUGACUUCUAUAUUAUACAAUUUUGUCCGAGUUUUUUUGCCGCACCCUGUAGAAUGAAUAAAGGCAAUUCAUUUCAAAUAAUCUAUAUACAAGCUUAUCUAAAAAGAUAAGCUUGUUUUUUCCCAACAAGCUUAUCUUUUUACUUUAAAAAGUUUCAACUUCCUAUAAAGGAUGAAAUUAGGUUAUCAGUUUAUGAUCCAUAAAAUUUUAAGCAGCAGAAGUUUAUUUUUACAUCUGUUUUCAAAUGAUUAAUUUCAAAACUAUUUAUCAAAAUGUGGUCAUUAAAUUUUAAAAGUUUUCAUCUGGAUUGGGAAACAAUAAUUUUAAACUAAAAAAUAAUCACAUAGGAAAAAAGUGAAACUAUUUGAAAUAAAAUAUUCAAUCAUUUCCCAGGUGGUAGACAUCACAACCAUGGAGAUGGAAGUAUCUUCGACAAAGCUGCCAACCUUGCCAAUGGGAUCGUGUAAUAAAAACGUUUUGAACAUUUCUGCAUUUUAGUAGUUAUGUAAAACAAGCAUAUUUGUGAAAUAAAAUUGGUUACUGCUUUCA